Molecule: ribosomal RNA, 536 nt
Filed under: uncultured bacterium
Lineage: Bacteria
Description: bacterial LSU rRNA
Rfam family: Bacterial large subunit ribosomal RNA
Source: RNAcentral
ACCUGCAUGAGUGAUGUAACGACUUCCCCACUGUCUCCAGAAUUGGUUCAGUGAAAUUGCAAUUUCCGUGAAGAUGCGGAGUAUUUAUGGCUAGACGGAGAGACCCUGUGCACCUUCACUAUAAUUUUAUAUUGUAAGAAAAAAUCAAAUGUGUAGAAUAAUUGUUAUGUUUAUGAUUCCUUCUAAAUAGAGGAGACGACUGUGAAAUUACAAUCUUUUGAUUUUGGACAACUUAUUCUUUGGAAGAAAGUAUAUGAUGGGUAGUUUAGCUGGGGCGGCUUCCUCCUAAAAAGUAACGGAGGAGUACAUAAGGUAAUAUCUAGUUGGUUUUUACUAACUUAAGAGCGUAAUGGUUAAUAUUACUUGACUGAAAGAUUUAUGAAUCUAACAGGGAUUUUAGGUCGGUCAUAGUGAUCCGGUGAUUCUGUGUGGAAAGAUCAUCGCCAACGGAUAAAAGGUACGCCAGGGAUAACAGGCUAAUGACUCUUGAGAGACCUUAUCGAUGGGGUAGUUUGGCACCUGAUGUCGACUCAUCG